AAAGGUAUCUUGGAGGAGUAAGGUGUCCAAAUUGCAACAUCUACACUGUAAAAAAUUAUUUAGCAGUUUAGUUGUUUCAACGAAUUUUUUUAUGUUGACACAACUUGCAGUUACUGAAUUUGUUCAUUCAACUAAAAAUUUUAAGUUUUCACUGUCUCAACUAGUUUGAAAGUUGACUCAACUAGAUUAUUUGUCCUAUCAACUUAAAAAAAUGUGUUGAAUCAAUUCAAUAGCAAUAUCACGUUCUCAACAUCACUUAUCGCGAGAUCUCGUCAUUCUCGUGAAGACCAUUCCAGGCAGAAGACGGUCGUCAGCCAUACUGGUCAGCUUCGCCACAAAGUUUGUUAAUUUCACCAGAAUACAACUUUGAUCAGCGCAGAAUUCAAUAAUCUUGUGGAUGGACCGCAGCAAGUCCUUUUGCAGUUGUAUCCCUCAAAAUGGUAUGCAGACAUAAUGGAAAUGACAUUCACAUUAUAGCGCUUGGACAAAGUUCACACAGGCUCAGGGCAGGAAUUCAUCAAGGACAUGACUGUUGGGAUUACGGUUGUGGAUGACCAAACUGAGCAGCAUCAAUCUGCAGUGAUGUGGUCCAGGUAAUAGAAGAAGAAAUCUUGGUGAUCUGGGGUUGUAACACGUUGUG
Molecule: long non-coding RNA, 640 nt
Organism: Cyprinus carpio (common carp)
Lineage: Eukaryota; Metazoa; Chordata; Actinopteri; Cypriniformes; Cyprinidae
Source: Ensembl